UACGGAGGGGGCUAGCGUUGUUCGGAAUUACUGGGCAUAAAGGGCGCGUAGGCGGCGUCGUAAGUCAGGCGUGAAAGGCCCGGGCUCAACUCGGGAACUGCGCUUGAUACUGCGGCGCUCGAGUCCGGGAGAGGAUGGCGGAAUUCCAAGUGUAGAGGUGAAAUUCGUAGAUAUUGGGAAGAACACCGGUGGCGAAGGCGGCCAUCUGGUCCGGUACUGACGCUAAUGCGAGAAAGCGUGGGGAGCAAACAGG
Molecule: ribosomal RNA, 253 nt
Filed under: uncultured bacterium
Lineage: Bacteria
Description: partial 16S ribosomal RNA
Rfam family: Bacterial small subunit ribosomal RNA
Source: RNAcentral